CGUUCAACUCUAAACACAGUGCAUGGCUUCGAUCGCGGCAGGAAGGAUGCUGCUUUAGCCGACAAUUUGGAGGGCUGUGUUUCAAUCCACACCUGAAAUUUUGCGGGUCUUGGAAAGAUUGGGCGCAAAGCAUAAAUUCACCUUGAAAAGGUCACCAACCAAUCACAGAGCAAUGGAGUACUUUUGAAAG
Molecule: long non-coding RNA, 190 nt
Organism: Trichomycterus rosablanca
Lineage: Eukaryota; Metazoa; Chordata; Actinopteri; Siluriformes; Trichomycteridae
Exons: 3
Source: RefSeq, a predicted model, not a curated record